GGCCAGCAGCCGCGGUAAUACGGAGGGUGCAAGCUUUCUCCGGAUUUAUUGGGUUUAAAGGGUGCGCAGGCGGACCAAUUAGUCAGGGGUGAAAUCCCGGGGCUCAACCCCGGAACUGCCUUUGAUACUGUUGGUCUUGAGUUCGGAAGGGAGAGGCGGAAUUCCAGGUGUAGUGGUGAAAUACGUAGAUAUCUGGAAGAACACCAGAGGCGAAGGCGGUCUCUUGGUCCGAAACUGACGCUGAGGCGCGAAAGCGUGGGGAGCAAACAGGAUUAGAUA
This 279-nucleotide ribosomal RNA is filed under the name uncultured bacterium. Its description in RNAcentral is "partial 16S ribosomal RNA". It matches the Rfam family "Bacterial small subunit ribosomal RNA", at positions 506 to 784 of the family's 1533-position model. The record is from RNAcentral.